CCUCUUGCGCGUAUCGACCCGCCAUUCUAUAUCUGCCAUCGCCGGAGUGUUCACGCACUUGGCUAUGGCGAUAAACGGCUCGUGGAAUAAACGUUGUGGACCCGGGGGCAGUGCCCGGCGUCUCCACCAUUCUCUCUCCCGGCUUCCGUCAGGACCGGGAACCGAUGGGGACGAAACAGGCUCGACACGCGCAGUAAAGACCAGUCUUUUGCCCGGCAUUGUACCGCCGUUAUCGGGCUGACCUACAAGUGCCAACGACAAUUCGAAGGUGCUCGCUGUCGCUGCAUAAGCGAUAAGCGCGGUUCGGGAGGGCACCGGGCAACAGAAGCCCUCCCACC
Molecule: non-coding RNA, 338 nt
Organism: Acidomonas methanolica NBRC 104435
Lineage: Bacteria; Pseudomonadati; Pseudomonadota; Alphaproteobacteria; Acetobacterales; Acetobacteraceae
Source: Rfam